RNAcentral lists this long non-coding RNA (1621 nucleotides) under Helianthus annuus (common sunflower). Its description in RNAcentral is "hypothetical non coding rna". The record is from RNAcentral. Lineage: Eukaryota; Viridiplantae; Streptophyta; Magnoliopsida; Asterales; Asteraceae.
GUUGACGCGUAUAGAAGAAAAGCCUUGUAUUAUAAUACGGGCGAUUAUUGAAGUUGAUAUUACUAAUUCUUGUAAAUGUUUUAAUUGAAGGACACUCGCAUCUGAAGAUAGCGAGAGUUUAACAAAUUGCGGAUAUGAUGAUGGAACGGUCCGAGAUGUGACAAGAAGAGCAUACUCAUCAAGGACCUAAAUCGCGUAACGAUCGCAAAUAAGUAAUGGCAAGGAAUGCCCAUCGGGGCAAGCAUUACCAGGUGCACAUUUUAAACUUAUAGUACAAACAGUAAUAUGCAACAAAUACAUAGUGAAUGACAGCUGCAUAUAGAAUAUGAAACUUGGAAAACCUGGAUAGGUUACCUAUCCAGGAUGACGUUUCCAAGAGAAAUUCAGUAGAGAAUAUGUAUUAUUCACAAAUUGUGAAUAACAAGACAAUAACAGAAUUCAGUUUAUAUAGAAACUUGGACGAGAGUGAUCAUCCAAGUAAGUAUUCUCAAUAUAAAUCCUAUUGAGAAAAGUAAUGAUCACAUCAACAAAUGUGAAUAAAUGUUUAUAAAAAGGGACAUUUUACAUGUUCAAGGAUAAACGACUAAAACUAAUAAUUGUUAACUAACAAUUAAAUAAAGUUUUACCAAAUGAAAUCAUAAAUAUGGAAAUAAUUUGAGGAGUUACUUACAUGGGACGUGAUGUGGUAAUUAUAAUAAGGUCACGCGUACCAUGUGUUGAUAGCUUACUCUGGCCAAGUAAGUAGUGAACACAUGAUAGCAUGAGCUUCUUAUAAUGAGCGCAGUUAUGUCCGAUGUAGUAAGGUCAAGAUGAAUGAAAAUUUAAAGGAUCCUUAGGGUCAAGAAAUCUUAUGGGCAUACUCGUAUAAAUGGUUUUCGCGGGAACCAUAAAAACGACGUAUGGCGCACAUAGAAAUAAAUGACCCAAGGAAAUUCGUGACAUAAGUCAUUUCGGACGAAACAACCAUGGUAGACAAAAAGGGCAUUGUAAAACCAAAGUAUAAAUGACCCGCGGGGUCAUAGAAACAAAGGUAUUGCCCACAUGGGAAAAACAAUCAAAGUCGUUGACUUUGGUCGUAGUAAAGAAAUGAUGAUGAUGAUGAUAAUCAUCAUUCAUAGUUUAUAAGACUGUCAAGGAUGGUCGAAUAAAGAAUAAAGGUUUGGUUGAAUAAAAGCGAUGGAUUUCGCUAAGACAACCAAACAAAUUAAAACGAAAUCUUAAUGUAUACCGGAAUGCUUGCACUAAUAAUGACUUCGGUAAAGUACCCGGUUGAUGGGUAAGGAUUUAAACACAUGCGUAAACCGAGAAACGGGAACACGAAUUUAAAGUCAAAAGACUCGGAUUAUGAGUUAUGACUGAAAGACCAUAAAAUUUCGCAAACAGAAAUUUUGAUAAUUAUAUUCAACUAUUUUGAGGUUGAACGGGUUGAAUAAAGUAUAAUGCUUGAUGGCAUAAGUAAGCGCAAGCCGGAUAACGGUAAGCUUGAGACAAACCGAUGCUUAAUUGACGUGAGAAGUCAUAGAGUCGGAAGAAUUAUCCGAAAGAAAACGAUUGUAGACACGAACUACAGUCAAAGUUAACGGAUUUCAAGCAUGAAAACAAAUGAUUUUCAAAAAAAAAA